CCUACGGGAGGCAGCAGUGGGGAAUAUUGGACAAUGGGGGCAACCCUGAUCCAGCCAUGCCGCGUGUGUGAAGAAGGCCCUCGGGUUGUAAAGCACUUUCAGUGAGGAAGAACGCCUGGUGGUUAAUACCCAUCAGGAAAGACAUCACUCACAGAAGAAGCACCGGCUAACUCCGUGCCAGCAGCCGCGGUAAUACGGAGGGUGCGAGCGUUAAUCGGAAUUACUGGGCGUAAAGCGCGCGUAGGUGGCUUGAUAAGCCGGUUGUGAAAGCCCCGGGCUCAACCUGGGAACGGCAUCCGGAACUGUCAAGCUAGAGUGCAGGAGAGGAAGGUAGAAUUCCCGGUGUAGCGGUGAAAUGCGUAGAGAUCGGGAGGAAUACCAGUAGCGAAGGCGGCCUUCUGGACUGACACUGACACUGAGGUGCGAAAGCGUGGGUAGCAAACAGGAUUAGAUACCCGUGUAGUC
Molecule: ribosomal RNA, 465 nt
Filed under: Vreelandella stevensii
Lineage: Bacteria; Pseudomonadati; Pseudomonadota; Gammaproteobacteria; Oceanospirillales; Halomonadaceae
Description: partial 16S ribosomal RNA
Rfam family: Bacterial small subunit ribosomal RNA
Source: RNAcentral